GCACAUCUUAUUGAAUAAAAUAAACUAAUGAACAUCACCCUUAAAAGAUUACAUGAGAAUUUCCAGAAGAGGGAGGGAUCUCUUGGAUAUUUACAGUGAAGAAACACAACUGCACAACCAAAAGUGGGGUGGGGGGUGUUACACAAUGAAUGCUUCUCUCAGUAUUUCUAUCUACUCUUUCAACUUUCUUCUGUUUUCUACCCAAUUCCUUUCUACAUCUGUGACAAUUCACUAUCUAAAUGGACUAUAAAAAGGCAAAAAGUGGGUGAUGCAGAAAAAAUAAAAUGAACCCAGAAAAAAGAUAGGGUGUUAGCGGAAUAUAUUCCUGCUCAGCUGAGUAUUAUGAUUGCCAAAACAGUUCAAAGUCAUUGCUGUACAACGACCUGUCUUGAAUCUCCAGAUUAGCAACAUGCCAGUUUAAGAGCUGCAAUUGGAUACAUUUACACAGAACCAGUGCAAAAGGAAAUAUCCACCACUCACUUUCAUCCAUGUUCCAUGGCUGGAAGUAAGGAAGCUUUCUGCUUGACUGAGUGAUAUAGUGAACAUAUCCACAGACAAAUGCGACAAUAACAUUAAUCAGGGAUGUAAUGUUCCACAAAGCAUAAACACGUGCAAGACCAGCAGAACGCCUUUGCCCCUGACUGAAGAGAGCAUUAAUUCCAGCAGGAAAUGGAAGUAACAUCCCAAGAGGUAAAACAAACAAAACCAAAAACACAUCUGCCAAGGAAAUCGAAUACAGCUGGAGCAGAGUAAGCAGCACUAAACUAAAAUCGCCCAGCAGCAAUAUCGAAAUGACCAAACCAACAAGAUCCUGAUGACCAACUGGUUUAGUGUUAUGGAUUAGAAAAGAGAGAACAUAAAACAGAUCUCUUUUCUCCUUGAGCAUCUUUAAGCUGUCAAUGUCUAAAAUCCCACCAUAAAAGUUCCGCUUUACAGUGCCUUUGUCAACCCCCCUUAAAAUUGAUUCAUCUCUUAGAUAGCCCGCAGGAUUCUGCCCAUCUAUGCUGCUAUCACAUGAUAGUUGUUCACUUCUGGAACCUUCAUCAAGAUCUUCAAAAGGCAGUAGUCCAGCUUCUUCAAUAACACACACCAAAAGUCCAAACUGAGUAUAGCUGUCAGUUGUUGCUUGGAAUGACGCCAGAUCGACGCGGAUACCAUAGAUCCUUAAAGCAGGAUUGGCAAAAGUUUCAAGCCAUCUAAGCACUGGGCGAAACAUUGUACUAAGGCAACCCCGGCGUACUAAACGCAACUGAGCAUUCAAACCAGCCACAAGACGGUACCAUGUCGUAGGAGGAAUGGACUGACUCAUCAGACUGGUAAUAACGUUAUCAUUAUUCAAAGAGAGUGGAGCCAUAUAACUUCCAUCACCACCAAAUAGAAGAGACAUCGGAAACCUCUGGUGAAGACUAGGAGGCAAAUCGCUUCGCUUCUCAUCACCGCCAAGAAAAAAGUCCACAUAUGCCAGCAUUAGAUCAGGUGUUGCUGCAACCUUCAGCCCCUCAUAAAGAGCACGUGAUCGACAAGAACGUAAGC
Molecule: unclassified non-coding RNA, 1533 nt
Filed under: Hevea brasiliensis (rubber tree)
Lineage: Eukaryota; Viridiplantae; Streptophyta; Magnoliopsida; Malpighiales; Euphorbiaceae
Source: RNAcentral